This 1476-nucleotide ribosomal RNA is filed under the name Salmonella enterica subsp. enterica serovar Muenster. Its description in RNAcentral is "partial 23S ribosomal RNA". It matches the Rfam family "Bacterial large subunit ribosomal RNA", at positions 711 to 2167 of the family's 2925-position model. Lineage: Bacteria; Pseudomonadati; Pseudomonadota; Gammaproteobacteria; Enterobacterales; Enterobacteriaceae. The record is from RNAcentral.
AGACCCGAAACCCGGUGAUCUAGCCAUGGGCAGGUUGAAGGUUGGGUAACACUAACUGGAGGACCGAACCGACUAAUGUUGAAAAAUUAGCGGAUGACCUGUGGCUGGGGGUGAAAGGCCAAUCAAACCGGGAGAUAGCUGGUUCUCCCCGAAAGCUAUUUAGGUAGCGCCUCGUGAAUUCAUCUCCGGGGGUAGAGCACUGUUUCGGCUAGGGGGCCAUCCCGGCUUACCAACCCGAUGCAAACUGCGAAUACCGGAGAAUGUUAUCACGGGAGACACACGGCGGGUGCUAACGUCCGUCGUGAAGAGGGAAACAACCCAGACCGCCAGCUAAGGUCCCAAAGUCAUGGUUAAGUGGGAAACGAUGUGGGAAGGCCCAGACAGCCAGGAUGUUGGCUUAGAAGCAGCCAUCAUUUAAAGAAAGCGUAAUAGCUCACUGGUCGAGUCGGCCUGCGCGGAAGAUGUAACGGGGCUAAACCAUGCACCGAAGCUGCGGCAGCGACGCUGAUGCGUUGUUGGGUAGGGGAGCGUUCUGUAAGCCUGUGAAGGUGGCCUGUGAGGGUUGCUGGAGGUAUCAGAAGUGCGAAUGCUGACAUAAGUAACGAUAAAGCGGGUGAAAAGCCCGCUCGCCGGAAGACCAAGGGUUCCUGUCCAACGUUAAUCGGGGCAGGGUGAGUCGACCCCUAAGGCGAGGCCGAAAGGCGUAGUCGAUGGGAAACGGGUUAAUAUUCCCGUACUUGGUGUUACUGCGAAGGGGGGACGGAGAAGGCUAUGUUGGCCGGGCGACGGUUGUCCCGGUUUAAGCGUGUAGGUGUGUGUUCCAGGUAAAUCCGGUUCACUUUAACACUGAGGCGUGACGACGAGGCACUACGGUGCUGAAGCAACAAAUGCCCUGCUUCCAGGAAAAGCCUCUAAGCAUCAGGUAACAUCAAAUCGUACCCCAAACCGACACAGGUGGUCAGGUAGAGAAUACCAAGGCGCUUGAGAGAACUCGGGUGAAGGAACUAGGCAAAAUGGUGCCGUAACUUCGGGAGAAGGCACGCUGACACGUAGGUGAAGUGAUUUACUCAUGGAGCUGAAGUCAGUCGAAGAUACCAGCUGGCUGCAACUGUUUAUUAAAAACACAGCACUGUGCAAACACGAAAGUGGACGUAUACGGUGUGACGCCUGCCCGGUGCCGGAAGGUUAAUUGAUGGGGUCAGCGCAAGCGAAGCUCCUGAUCGAAGCCCCGGUAAACGGCGGCCGUAACUAUAACGGUCCUAAGGUAGCGAAAUUCCUUGUCGGGUAAGUUCCGACCUGCACGAAUGGCGUAAUGAUGGCCAGGCUGUCUCCACCCGAGACUCAGUGAAAUUGAACUCGCUGUGAAGAUGCAGUGUACCCGCGGCAAGACGGAAAGACCCCGUGAACCUUUACUAUAGCUUGACACUGAACAUUGAGCCUUGAUGUGUAGGAUAGGUGGGAGGCUUUGAAGUGUGG